GAUGAACGCUGGCGGCGUGCCUAAUACAUGCCAGUCGAGCGAACAGACGAGGAGCUUGCUCCUCUGACGUUAGCGGCGGACGGGCGAGUAACACGUGGAUAACCUACCUAUAAGACUGGGAUAACUUCGGGAAACCGGAGCUAAUACCGGAUAAUAUAUUGAACCGCAUGGUUCAAUAGUGAAAGACGGUUUUGCUGUCACUUAUAGAUGGAUCCGCGCCGCAUUAGCUAGUUGGUAAGGUAACGGCUUACCAAGGCAACGAUGCGUAGCCGACCUGAGAGGGUGAUCGGCCACACUGGAGCUGAGACACGGUCCAGACUCCUACGGGAGGCAGCAGUAGGGAAUCUUCCGCAAUGGGCGAAAGCCUGACGGAGCAACGCCGCGUGAGUGAUGAAGGUCUUCGGAUCGUAAAACUCUGUUAUUAGGGAAGAACAAAUGUGUAAGUAACUAUGCACGUCUUGACGGUACCUAAUCAGAAAGCCACGGCUAACUACGUG
This 497-nucleotide ribosomal RNA is filed under the name uncultured bacterium. RNAcentral's name for it is "partial 16S ribosomal RNA". It matches the Rfam family "Bacterial small subunit ribosomal RNA", at positions 28 to 507 of the family's 1533-position model. The record is from RNAcentral.